Molecule: transfer RNA, 71 nt
Filed under: Desmophyllum pertusum
Lineage: Eukaryota; Metazoa; Cnidaria; Anthozoa; Scleractinia; Caryophylliidae
Description: Lophelia pertusa tRNA
Rfam family: tRNA
About the family: Transfer RNA (tRNA) molecules are approximately 80 nucleotides in length. Their secondary structure includes four short double-helical elements and three loops (D, anti-codon, and T loops).
Source: Rfam by way of RNAcentral
UCUCCUGUAGCUCAGUGGUAGAGUGUCCGACUGGUGUGUAGAAGGUCAUAGGUCGACUCCUGUUGGGGGAA